GAGCCUCUUAAAACUGCUUUUAAUCCUUGAUUACACUUCACAGGAGUGAGACACCCAAGCAGCAACUUUUGUAAUCACAGGGAGAGAACUUAUUUUUAAAUGCUUUCCCCACCUUUAAAGGUCUCUGCUGGGUACUGAUGCUUUGCUGUUGACUGAAGAGUGAAUACAGCUGCACAGGAAACACUGGUGCGUGAUGCCAAACCAUUUACACCUCAGUGAUAAAGUGCAAGCUAUAAACCCUGGGUACCUGAAUUGCUAAAGUAGUUCUAUACUAGGGGUUGCCAUACAUCUGGAAUUUCCUGUCUGGAUUUUCACUUUUUGAAAUAUGGCAACACUACCCUAUCCAUAGCUGUCAACUUUCCCCUUUUCUUGCAAGGAAUCCUAUUUGGAGUAAGGGAAUUUCCCUUUAAAAAAAGGAAAAGUUGACAGCUAUGAUCCUAUACCAUAAUGGCAUAUAGAUAAAAGGAUUUUUAUUGUGUUUGGUUUAGCAGUUUACAUUGAAACCAGAGUAAGGAAAACACCAGCUACUGGGAAGCUAUGCGGGUAGUUUGAUGUUGUGCUGUCCAGAAUGUACAGGGAUUCUAGAAAGAAGCAAUAGACAUGUUAGGGUCAAAAACCACCUGUCUGCGAAUAAUGCAGCUCUUACCUUUAUAACCUCCUGCCAGAAGGAUUUCAAUGAUGAGCAUAAUGGUGCCAAAAGACCCACUCUCAUUAUUAUUUCUUUGGCACAAGACACUACAAGAGCAUUGGAUAUGAGCCAUAAACUAUUGUGUAAAACCAAUGGUGAAUUAAGAGAGUUUUCCUGAAUAUAAGCUGGCACAAAGGUAAAUGGUUUUGUGGACCAUUAUCCAUCUGGCCAAUUGAGCUAUAGCCAGGUCAGCUCCCACAUCUCUCUCCCAGACUGCCUUCAAACCCACAAAUUGAGAGAACGAGGCUUCCAAAAUGAUAGAAUAAAUCAAAGAGACCACGUCCUUCUGGUGACCUCACCGCCAAGCUUUCAAAAGCUAUCAGGGACCUCUUUGCUUGACCUUUAAUGGUGACAUCUGAUAGAAAAUAGCUGGACUAAUGAAGUUUUAACCCAUUUUAACUUGAACCCCUAAAUCUCCUUGAGUGCUGUAGUUUAGUCACUGGGGAAUUGCUCAGAAAAUUUUAAGGCAUGCACUUAAAACUGUAACAAUGAAAGAGAGAUCAGUGAUGCUUCAAAUCAGACAUUUGUCCUACAUGAGAUCCUGUACACAUGUACAGUUGUAUGUCUACUUUGUCCAGUCAGAUUAUAUGGAAGCAGCUGCUUGUUGUUGUUGUUUUUUAAAUGAAAAUCCAUAUCAGAUUUUUUAACUUUGAAACAUUCAAUCUUUUUUCAUGAACAAGGAAGAGAAAGGAAACCCGCGAUGCAGAGCAUAGGGCACACAACUUGCAGCACUUAUUGGCAAGAUGUGCUGCAAUUUAACUAACUUGGCGUACUGGCAGUAGCCAGCGCAAGGGUUCAUGCUAGCACAAUGGGGCUUCCUUGCACUUCUCCCACAAUGCCUCCCCCAAAUCUACUCUGGAGGGUCAGGAAUAUCGCCCAGAACAGGGCACUGAGGGAACUUGUGCAGAUGGAAUGAUCAGAAGACUGUUACAUUGAAUUCCCCUCCUAAUUUCCCAGUAUGUCCUUUAGGGUGGUCUUCAACCACGUUUUACUCCAAGUACACCCAUUAAAAUUCAUGAACGUGACCAAGUUAGGUCCAUUAAUUUCAAGGGUACAAUUUAGCUGAAUACCAAUCCUGAUGUUUUAAUCUAGUUAUCAGAGCAUUUAGUUUAUUGUGCUAAGGUUUUGGUUAUGGGGGAGGGAUGGUUUUUACUUGAAGUAACAGAGCUUCAUGUGAGAUAAACAGGAGUUACUUACCAGGGACUAAGGAAGGUGGUGGCUGAGUGGGGGGUUAAGAACAAAACACCUAUCUGUAAUGUUGUCAGUUGAUGCCCAAGUAUACCAGAGUAUAAUCUCUUGUGCUUCUAAAUCUCAGAGGAUUUAGGCAUAUUUCUGAUAUAACUUAGUCCUUCCAUAUAUUUUUCCUUGAGCAAAUUUGUACGUACUUUAGAUAUUCUGUCGUUGAUCCUAAAGGCAAGUGAUGGUCUGCUGCACUCAGUCGCUCUGAAUAAAUUUCCUGGCUACAAAAGGCCUUCAAGAUGAGAUUGAUCUAAAAAUGUGGGAUUUUCUUCUGAUGCUCACUCAUCUAUUGCACACAAUAAUAGGAUGCCUGCUGAAAAACUGUCUUGACAUUAGAAGUAAUGAACAGGAUAUUUUUGUGUGUGUUCAUAACUUACCAGAAUGCUGUAACCCAUGGCCUCAAAAGCAGUGAGUAGAAAAUGGAUCAUAUCUCAAGAGACUGGUCAUUCACAAACAAAUGUUUAAGAUAUUCUCAAAUCUUUUCCUACAUUGUCAUAAAACCCCUAUGAGACAAAACCCUGUGGCCGUUUUAUCUUCCAUUUCCUUACACACAGUCACUACGUCCCUCAGGAAAUUAAAGGCAUUUCUCGACCGGAUGCCACCAACAGAUUAAUUAAGAUAGUUUCUGAAGUCUCAUUUAAUUAUCUAAAUUGAUGACAAAUUUGGCAAUUAAGGAAUUUAUCUAGGUUUCACUUUGUUGAGCAGGG
RNAcentral lists this long non-coding RNA (2634 nucleotides) under Podarcis lilfordi (Lilford's wall lizard). The record is from RNAcentral. Lineage: Eukaryota; Metazoa; Chordata; Lepidosauria; Squamata; Lacertidae.